AAUUAAAUAGGCGAUGACGUUCGCCGUAAUUAAACUGAUUGUAAUCUGAUGACGUCUACUAUUCC
Molecule: non-coding RNA, 65 nt
Filed under: Paucilactobacillus suebicus
Lineage: Bacteria; Bacillati; Bacillota; Bacilli; Lactobacillales; Lactobacillaceae
Description: Lactobacillus suebicus Fluoride sequence
Rfam family: Fluoride riboswitch aptamer (crcB RNA motif)
Source: RNAcentral